CCUCAGUAACGGCGAGUGAAGCGGUAACAGCUCAAAUUUGAAAGCUAGCUCUUCUAGGGUUCGCAUUGUAAUUUGUAGAAGAUGUUUCGGGUGUGGCCCCGGUCUAAGUUCCUUGGAACAGGACGUCAUAGAGGGUGAGAAUCCCGUAUGUGACUGGGUGCUUUCGCUCAUGUGAAACUCUUUCGACGAGUCGAGUUGUUUGGGAAUGCAGCUCAAAAUGGGUGGUAAAUUUCAUCUAAAGCUAAAUAUUGGCCAGAGACCGAUAGCGCACAAGUAGAGUGAUCGAAAGAUGAAAAGCACUUUGGAAAGAGAGUUAAACAGUACGUGAAAUUGUUGAAAGGGAAGCGCUUGCAACCAGACUUGCGCGCUGAUGAUCAUCCGGGCUUCUGCCUGGUGUACUUGUCUGCGCUCAGGCCAGCAUCGGUUUCGGUGGUGGGAUAAAGGCCUUGGGAAUGUAGCUCCUCUCGGGGAGUGUUAUAGCCCUCGGUGCAAUGCCGCCUACCGGGACCGAGGACCGCGCUUCGGCUAGGAUGCUGGCGUAAUGGUUGUAAGCGACCCGUCUUGAAACACGGACCAAGGAGUCUAACAUCUAUGCGAGUGUUUGGGUGUCAAACCCAUACGCGUAAUGAAAGUGAACGGAGGUGAGAACCCUUAAGGGUGCAUCAUCGACCGAUCCUGAUGUCUUCGGAUGGAUUUGAGUAAGAGCAUAGCUGUUGGGACCCGAAAGAUGGUGAACUAUGCGUGAAUAGGGUGRAGCCAGAGGA
Molecule: ribosomal RNA, 764 nt
Filed under: Rhexocercosporidium bellocense
Lineage: Eukaryota; Fungi; Ascomycota; Leotiomycetes; Helotiales
Description: Septocylindrium bellocense partial large subunit ribosomal RNA
Source: RNAcentral